RNAcentral lists this ribosomal RNA (253 nucleotides) under uncultured bacterium. RNAcentral's name for it is "partial 16S ribosomal RNA". It matches the Rfam family "Bacterial small subunit ribosomal RNA", at positions 524 to 776 of the family's 1533-position model. The record is from RNAcentral.
UACGGAGGGGGCUAGCGUUGUUCGGAAUUACUGGGCGUAAAGCGCACGUAGGCGGCCUGUUAAGUCGAACGUGAAAUCCCCGGGCUCAACCCGGGAACUGCGUCCGAUACUGGCAGGCUUGAAUCCGGGAGAGGGAUGCGGAAUUCCAGGUGUAGCGGUGAAAUGCGUAGAUAUCUGGAGGAACACCGGUGGCGAAGGCGGCAUCCUGGACCGGUAUUGACGCUGAGGCGCGAAAGCCAGGGGAGCAAACGGG